RNAcentral lists this transfer RNA (75 nucleotides) under Candidatus Staskawiczbacteria bacterium RIFCSPLOWO2_01_FULL_37_25b. RNAcentral's name for it is "tRNA-Val". It matches the Rfam family "tRNA". From Rfam's summary of the family: Transfer RNA (tRNA) molecules are approximately 80 nucleotides in length. Lineage: Bacteria; Candidatus Staskawicziibacteriota. The record is from RNAcentral.
GGGCACUUAGCGCAGUGGUAGCGCGCUUCGUUCACAUCGAAGAGGUCACAGGUUCGAUCCCUGUAGUGCCCACCA